UACGGAGGGUGCAAGCAUUGAUCGGAAUUAUUGGGCGUAAAGGGCGCGUAGGCCGCAGGGCAAGUCAAGUGUGAGAUUCCGGGGCUCAACCCCGGAGCUGCAUUUGAAACUACCUCGCUAGAGUAUAGUUAGAGAAAACGGAAUUCCACGUGUAGCGGUGAAAUGCGUAGAUAUGUGGAAGAACACCGGUGGUGAAGACGGUUUUCUGGGCUAAAACUGACGCUGAGGCGCGAAAGCUAGGGGAGCAAACAGGAUUAGAAA
This 261-nucleotide ribosomal RNA is filed under the name uncultured bacterium. RNAcentral describes it as "partial 16S ribosomal RNA". It matches the Rfam family "Bacterial small subunit ribosomal RNA", at positions 524 to 784 of the family's 1533-position model. The record is from RNAcentral.